ACACUCCUGCGGGAGGCAGCAGUGGGGAAUUUUGGACAAUGGGCGAAAGCCUGAUCCAGCCAUGCCGCGUGCAGGAUGAAGGCCUUCGGGUUGUAAACUGCUUUUGUACGGAACGAAACGGCCUUUUCUAAUAAAGAGGGCUAAUGACGGUACCGUAAGAAUAAGCACCGGCUAACUACGUGCCAGCAGCCGCGGUAAUACGUAGGGUGCAAGCGUUAAUCGGAAUUACUGGGCGUAAAGCGUGCGCAGGCGGUUAUGUAAGACAGUUGUGAAAUCCCCGGGCUCAACCUGGGAACUGCAUCUGUGACUGCAUAGCUAGAGUACGGUAGAGGGGGAUGGAAUUCCGCGUGUAGCAGUGAAAUGCGUAGAUAUGCGGAGGAACACCGAUGGCGAAGGCAAUCCCCUGGACCUGUACUGACGCUCAUGCACGAAAGCGUGGGGAGCAAACAGGAUUAGAUACCCCAGUAGUCCC
RNAcentral lists this ribosomal RNA (472 nucleotides) under uncultured organism. RNAcentral describes it as "partial 16S ribosomal RNA". It matches the Rfam family "Bacterial small subunit ribosomal RNA", at positions 333 to 797 of the family's 1533-position model. The record is from RNAcentral.